GAUGAACGCUGGCGGCGUGCUUAACACAUGCAAGUCGAACGGAAAGGCCCAAGCUUGCUUGGGUACUCGAGUGGCGAACGGGUGAGUAACACGUGGGUGAUCUGCCCUGCACUUCGGGAUAAGCCUGGGAAACUGGGUCUAAUACCGGAUAGGACGAUGGUUUGGAUGCCAUUGUGGAAAGUUUUUUCGGUGUGGGAUGAGCUCGCGGCCUAUCAGCUUGUUGGUGGGGUAAUGGCCUACCAAGGCGUCGACGGGUAGCCGGCCUGAGAGGGUGUACGGCCACAUUGGGACUGAGAUACGGCCCAGACUCCUACGGGAGGCAGCAGUGGGGAAUAUUGCACAAUGGGCGCAAGCCUGAUGCAGCGACGCCGCGUGGGGGAGGACGGCCUUCGGGUUGUAAACUCCUUUCGCUAGGGACGAAGCGUUUUUGUGACGGUACCUGGAGAAGAAGCACCGGCUAACUACGU
Molecule: ribosomal RNA, 467 nt
Filed under: uncultured bacterium
Lineage: Bacteria
Description: partial 16S ribosomal RNA
Rfam family: Bacterial small subunit ribosomal RNA
Source: RNAcentral